CCCUGUAGCUCAGUUGGUAGAGCAUGGUGUUUGCAGCACCAGGGUUGUGGGUUUGAUUCCCACAGGGG
Molecule: transfer RNA, 68 nt
Filed under: Salmo salar (Atlantic salmon)
Lineage: Eukaryota; Metazoa; Chordata; Actinopteri; Salmoniformes; Salmonidae
Rfam family: tRNA
About the family: Transfer RNA (tRNA) molecules are approximately 80 nucleotides in length. Their secondary structure includes four short double-helical elements and three loops (D, anti-codon, and T loops).
Source: Rfam by way of RNAcentral